CCUACGGGGGGCAGCAGUGAGGAAUAUUGGUCAAUGGGCGGAAGCCUGAACCAGCCAAGUAGCGUGCAGGAUGACGGCCCUACGGGUUGUAAACUGCUUUUAUACGGGAAUAACGCGCCUUACGUGUAGGGCUUUGCAUGUACCGUAUGAAUAAGGACCGGCUAAUUCCGUACCAGCAGCCGCGGUAAUACGGAAGGUCCGGGCGUUAUCCGGAUUUAAUGGGUUUAAAGGGAGCGUAGGCCGCAUGUCAAGCGUGCUGUGAAAUGUCCGGGCUCAACCCGGGCCUUGCAGCGCGAACUGGCGUGCUUGAGUCCGCGGAAAGCAGGCGGAAUUCGUCGUGUAGCGGUGAAAUGCUUAGAUAUGACGAAGAACCCCGAUUGCGAAGGCAGCUUGCUGCAGCGGAACUGACGCUGAUGCUCGAAAGCGCGGGUAUCGAACAGGAUUAGAUACCCCAGUAGUC
RNAcentral lists this ribosomal RNA (460 nucleotides) under uncultured bacterium. Its description in RNAcentral is "partial 16S ribosomal RNA". It matches the Rfam family "Bacterial small subunit ribosomal RNA", at positions 338 to 795 of the family's 1533-position model. The record is from RNAcentral.